RNAcentral lists this long non-coding RNA (483 nucleotides) under Pongo abelii (Sumatran orangutan). RNAcentral's name for it is "lincRNA". Lineage: Eukaryota; Metazoa; Chordata; Mammalia; Primates; Hominidae. The record is from RNAcentral.
GCAGCUAUAAUCUUGGGGGAAUGAAUACCUACUAGGAGCAACCUUCAUCCAAUGACUAACAGGAGCUGGGGUAUCAAUUCCCCAGCUCCCCAGCACUCAGGGGAACACCAAGACCUAUUCUCCUCAUGGGAGCAAGAAGAUGAAGUGGAGAGGAAGGUUUGAGUCCUUUCUCUCUAUGUAUCUGUCAGGCUGUGCUGCGGUAACAAACAGCCCCCAAUUCUUGGUGGCUGAAAACAACGAAACUUAUUUCUCACUCAUGAAAGAUGUCUAGUGCUGGUCAGCAGGGGACUUUUCUCUACAGAGUCACUCAGGGACCCAGGCUGGUGUAGGCUCUGCCAUUUUGCAAUGUUGCCAUCUCAGGACAGCAGAAGAGAAGAGAGCACUGGAAAGUGUGGCUCCUGUAAUAAGAUGAUUUCCCCUGGAAAUUACACCAGUCAUGUUUGUUCAGAAUCCACUGACCAGAAUGAGUCACAUGACACCCCC